RNAcentral lists this ribosomal RNA (253 nucleotides) under uncultured bacterium. Its description in RNAcentral is "partial 16S ribosomal RNA". It matches the Rfam family "Bacterial small subunit ribosomal RNA", at positions 524 to 776 of the family's 1533-position model. The record is from RNAcentral.
UACGUAGGGUGCAAGCGUUGUCCGGAUUUAUUGGGUUUAAAGGGUGCGUAGGCGGGCUAUUAAGUCAGUGGUGAAAUCCAGCAGCUUAACUGUUGAUGUGCCAUUGAUACUGGUAGCUUUGAGUACAGAUGAGGUAGGCGGAAUUGACAGUGUAGCGGUGAAAUGCAUAGAUAUUGUCAAGAACUCCGAUAGCGAAGGCAGCUUACUGGGCUGUAACUGACGAUGAUGCACGAAAGUGUGGGGAUCAAACAGG